This 65-nucleotide transfer RNA is filed under the name Osmia excavata. Its description in RNAcentral is "tRNA-Ile". The record is from RNAcentral. Lineage: Eukaryota; Metazoa; Arthropoda; Insecta; Hymenoptera; Megachilidae.
AACAAUAUGCCUGAUUAAAGGAAUAUUUUGAUAGAAUAUUUAUGUAUAUUCUUAUACUAUUGUUA